CUCGGAUAUCUGCUAUUACCACACGCUAAGCAAUCAGAACACGAGAUAACAACGACAAAGUAUAAAAAUCGUAAAAAGAGAGCAAAGAGAAGUCUUAUUCAGAAUUUGCUUAUGAGCAUUUACAAUAAGGUAUAAGCCUGGGCUCGAGAGCUGUUGGCGAUAUUCCUAGUUCUAGCAACCCUAAGACGGCUAAACCUAAUUGAGUAGCAGCUCGAAAUAACAAAAACAAAAAGUUUGCCUAAUUGCUCUAAAUGCUAAGUUUGUUGUGUCAAAGUUGUAACCUCAUGCCUCUCGCCUAGGACUCCUUAUAUACUCGCUCCUAGGUCGGCUUACGCUUUUCCCCUUCUGCC
RNAcentral lists this long non-coding RNA (350 nucleotides) under Brassica napus (rape). Its description in RNAcentral is "long non-coding RNA (BNAP_LNC001786)". Lineage: Eukaryota; Viridiplantae; Streptophyta; Magnoliopsida; Brassicales; Brassicaceae. The record is from RNAcentral.